CCCUUAGAUGUUCUGGGCUGCACGCGCGCUACACUGAUGCGCUCAACGAGUUUAUAACCUUGUCCGGCAGGAUUGGGUAAUCUUUUUAAAACGCAUCGUGAUGGGGAUAGAUUAUUGCAAUUAUUAAUCUUCAACGAGGAAUUCCUAGUAAGCGCGAGUCAUCAUCCCGCGCUGAAUACGUCCCUGCCCUUUGUACACACCGCCCGUCGCUCCUACCGAUUGAGUGGUCCGGUGAGGCUUUGGGAUCUGAGCGGAAAGAGCGUUUCGCUGUUUCUGCUCGGAAAACUCAGUCGAACCUUAUCAUUUAGAGGAAGGAGAAGUCGUAACA
Molecule: ribosomal RNA, 328 nt
Filed under: uncultured eukaryote
Lineage: Eukaryota
Description: partial 18S ribosomal RNA
Rfam family: Eukaryotic small subunit ribosomal RNA
Source: RNAcentral